UACAUGGCGUACUGCUCAGUAACACGUGGACAACCUGCCCUUAGGACGGGGAUAAACCCGGGAAACUGGGUAUAAUACCCGAUAGGUCUCGAGUGCUGGAAUGCAUCGAGAUCUAAAGCUCCGGCGCCUAAGGAUGGGUCUGCGGCCUAUCAGGUAGUAGUGGGUGUAGUGUACCUACUAGCCUACGACGGGUACGGGUUGUGAGAGCAAGAGCCCGGAGAUGGAUUCUGAGACACGAAUCCAGGCCCUACGGGGUGCAGCAGGCGCGAAAACUUUACAAUGCUGGCAACAGCGAUAAGGGAACCUCGAGUGCCAGGUUACAAAUCUGGCUGUCGUAAUGCCUAAAAAGCAUUGCAUAGCAAGGGCCGGGCAAGACCGCUGCCAGCCGCCGCGGUAACACCGGCGGCUCGAGUGGUAACCGUUAUUAUUGGGUCUAAAGGGUCUGUAGCCGGCCGGAUAAGUCUCUUGAGAAAUCUGGCAGCUUAACUGUCAGGCUUUCAGGAGAUACUGUCUGGCUCGAGGCCGGGAGAGGUGAGAGGUACUUCAGGGGUAGGGGGUGAAAUCUUGUAAUCCUUGAAGGACCACCAGUGGCGAAGGCGUCUCACCAGAACGGACCUGACGGCAAGGGACGAAAGCUAGGGGCACGAACCGGAUUAGAUACCCGGGUAGUCCUAGCCGUAAACGAUACUCGCUAGGUGUCGGCCACGGUGCGACCGUUGUCGGUGCCGUAGGGAAGCCGUGAAGCGAGCCACCUGGGAAGUACGGCCGCAAGGCUGAAACUUAA
RNAcentral lists this ribosomal RNA (784 nucleotides) under uncultured euryarchaeote. RNAcentral describes it as "bacterial SSU rRNA". It matches the Rfam family "Archaeal small subunit ribosomal RNA", at positions 75 to 859 of the family's 1478-position model. Lineage: Archaea; Methanobacteriati; Methanobacteriota. The record is from RNAcentral.